RNAcentral lists this transfer RNA (85 nucleotides) under Bacterioplanes sanyensis. It matches the Rfam family "tRNA". Rfam says of the family: Transfer RNA (tRNA) molecules are approximately 80 nucleotides in length. Lineage: Bacteria; Pseudomonadati; Pseudomonadota; Gammaproteobacteria; Oceanospirillales; Oceanospirillaceae. The record is from Rfam by way of RNAcentral.
GGUGAGGUGUCCGAGUGGUCGAAGGAGCACGCCUGGAAAGCGUGUAUACCGAAAGGUAUCGAGGGUUCGAAUCCCUCCCUCACCG